AACGAACGCUGGCGGCAGGCUUAACACAUGCAAGUCGAACGCAGCCUUCGGGGUGAGUGGCAGACGGGUGAGUAACGCGUGGGAACGUGCCCUUCAGUUCGGGAUAACCCAGGGAAACUUGGGCUAAUACCGGCUACGUGCGUGAGCAGAAAGAUUUAUCGCUGAAGGAUGGGCCCGCGUCUGAUUAGCUAGUGGGUGGGGUAAUGGCCCACCAAGGCGACGAUCAGUAGCUGGUCUGAGAGGAUGAUCAGCCACAUUGGGACUGAGACACGGCCCAAACUCCUACGGGAGGCAGCAGUGGGGAAUAUUGGACAAUGGGCGCAAGCCUGAUCCAGCCAUGCCGCGUGAGUGAUGAAGGCCUUAGGGUUGUAAAGCUCUUUCGUCCGGGACGAUAAUGACGGUACCGGAAGAAGAAGCCCCGGCUAACUUCGUGCCAGCCGCCGCGGUAA
RNAcentral lists this ribosomal RNA (449 nucleotides) under uncultured bacterium. Its description in RNAcentral is "partial 16S ribosomal RNA". It matches the Rfam family "Bacterial small subunit ribosomal RNA", at positions 29 to 523 of the family's 1533-position model. The record is from RNAcentral.